Molecule: ribosomal RNA, 370 nt
Filed under: uncultured bacterium
Lineage: Bacteria
Description: bacterial SSU rRNA
Rfam family: Bacterial small subunit ribosomal RNA
Source: RNAcentral
CAGCAGCCGCGGUAAUACGGAGGGUGCAAGCGUUAAUCGGAAUCACUGGGCGUAAAGCGCACGUAGGCGGCUUGGUAAGUCAGGGAUGAAAUCCCACAGCCCAACUGUGGAACUGCCUUUGAUACUGCCAGGCUUGAGUACCGGAGAGGGUGGCGGAAUUCCAGGUGUAGGAGUGAAAUCCGUAGAUAUCUGGAGGAACACCGGUGGCGAAGGCGGCCACCUGGACGGUAACUGAUGCUGAGGUGCGAAAGCGUGGGUAGCAAACAGGAUUAGAUACCCUGGUAGUCCACGCUGUAAACGAUGGGUGCUGGGUGCUGGGAUGUAUGUCUCGGUGCCGUAGCUAACGCGAUAAGCACCCCGCCUGGGGAGU